UUCCGGUUGUACCUGCCGGACCCGACUGCUAUCGGAGUGGGACUAAGCCAUGCGAGUCGUGCGUCCCCGGCUGCGGGGGCGCGGCGCACGGCUCAGUAACACGUAGUCAACCUGCCCUGGAGACGCGGAUAAUCCCGGGAAACUGGGGCUAAUCCGCGAUAGGCCUAGGGUGCUGGAAGGCCCCUAGGCCCAAAGGGGCAGGCGGGCAUGCUCCGCCUGUCCGCUCCAGGAUGGGACUGCGGCCGAUCAGGUUGUUGGUGGGGUAAUGGCCCACCAAGCCUAUAACCGGUACGGGCUCUGAGAGGAGGAGCCCGGAGAUGGGCACUGAAACAAGGGCCCAGGCCCUACGGGGCGCAGCAGGCGCGAAACCUCCACAAUGCGCGAAAGCGCGAUGGGGUCACUCCGAGUGCCGCCCGCUGAGGGCGGCUUUUCCCGGGCCUAAAAAGCCCGGGGAAUAAGGGGAGGGCAAGCCUGGUGUCAGCCGCCGCGGUAAUACCAGCUCCCCGAGUGGUCGGGACGAUUAUUGGGCCUAAAGCAUCCGUAGCCGGCCCGGUAGGUCUCCUGUUAAAUCCAACGGCUCAACCGUUGGGCUGCAGGAGAUACCGCCGGGCUAGGGGGCGGGAGAGGCGGACGGUAUUCCGCGGGUAGGGGUAAAAUCCUCUGAUCCGCGGAGGACCACCAGUGGCGAAGGCGGUCCGCCAGAACGCGCCCGACGGUGAGGGAUGAAAGCUGGGGGAGCGAACCGGAUUAGAUACCCGGGUAGUCCCAGCUGUAAACGAUGCGGGCUAGGUGCUGGAAGGGCUGCGGGGCCUUCCAGUGCCGCAGGGGAAGCCGUUAAGCCCGCCGCCUGGGGAGUACGGCCGCAAGGCUGAAACUUAAAGGAAUUGGCGGGGGAGCACCACAAGGGGUGAAGCCUGCGGUUCAAUUGGAGUCAACGCCGGGAACCUUACCCGGGGUGACAGCAGGAUGAAGGUCAAGCUAAAGACUUUACCAGACGAGCUGAGAGGAGGUGCAUGGCCGUCGCCAGCUCGUGCCGUGAGGUGUCCUGUUAAGUCAGGCAACGAGCGAGACCCCCGCCGCUAGUUGCUACCAUCUCCCGAAAGGGAGAUGGGGCUAAUUAGCGGGACUGCCACCGCUAAGGUGGAGGAAGGAGGGGGCCACGGCAGGUCAGUAUGCCCCGAAACCCCGGGGCCACACGCGGGCUGCAAUGGUAGGGACAAUGGGAGCCGACCCCGAAAGGGGGAGGAAAUCCCCAAACCCUACCCCAGUUAUGACUGAGGGCUGCAACCCGCCCUCACAAAUCUGGAAUCCCUAGUAACCGCGCGUCAUCAUCGCGCGGUGAAUACGUCCCUGCUCCUUUGACACACCGCCCGUC
This 1375-nucleotide ribosomal RNA is filed under the name uncultured crenarchaeote. RNAcentral describes it as "16S ribosomal RNA". It matches the Rfam family "Archaeal small subunit ribosomal RNA". The record is from RNAcentral. Lineage: Archaea; Thermoproteati; Thermoproteota.